CACUCAGCGAUACUUCCUGAAGCUCUAACCAUGAACGUCGCGUUUCAUAGGAAAUCACCUACAAAUUCAUAAAGAAAGAGGAAUAAGUUUCUGUUUCCUGAAUAGUGAGAGUGAGGAAGCAGAUACCAGAGACACAGGAGAAAACAACACCGAAUAGUAUCAUAAGAAGGAGACACAAUGACCAAACCACGAACUCUGAAUGAAAUGAAUGGAUUUGGUAAACCUUAUCCAAGACACGGACUCAAGCUGCUUUACUGGUUUGCUCACGACUGUCUGUAUUUUGAUGACGACAAUAAGAUGUGCUGGCAGUACGAUCCAGAGGAAAGAUACUUCGGUUUCCACCUUUUUGAAAACAGAAUUGACAAAAACGGUGAUCAACUCCUACCUGAGGUGGAGCUUGACUACUACAUGGUGGGCAAUCUGAGGAGAGCAGGAGCAGACGACCUGCCAGAUUACGUUCGGGAGGAUUAUAUCCAAAACCGUAAUCACAGCAAGAGAAACAUGGACCGCAUCAUAGUCAGCGUUGAUGAUGAGUGGUUUGACAGAGUCUAUGUGACCGAGCACAGUGAUCGGACAGAUUUCAACAAGGAAGCCACGUACUGCAUCAGCAGGGGCCUCAUUAUGAUUAUCAGACGGCUGACCUUAGAGAACUUUCUCACAGAAACUGGGUACUGGACAGAAGAGGAUUCUGAUCAGAGUUAUACAGAGGAUGAUGAUGAUGACGAUGAUGAAUAUGAUUAUGUUGUCAGAGAAAUUAGGGGCUGGACACUGGAAGCGAACACUGAUCUGAUUACUGGGUAUUCAAGACUGCCAUCGGACUCUGAUCAAAGAUCUGAGGAAGAAAGUGUCGACAGUUCUGGGGAUCAUGAUGAAUACGAAAACUGCUGCAGAUGUAUCAUACUUUAAACUCUGGGUAUAAAAGAUCAAUUAUAAAACUUGCACAAAGUGUACAGGUAUUUAAAUACAUGACUGAACUAUACCCUUCAUAUACGUUGGCCAUACAGGUAAGACCAUGUUAUAGCACAGAGUCAGAAGGCAGGGAAGGGCACAAGUCCAGGUAUGCAAAAGCUUUAUUCAGAAUUCAGGCGACUGGCAAACAGCAUAGACAGGGCAAAACAAGAGAAAACUAUUUGUUCAUGUGGACAGAAGUUAACUUGGACAUGCCCACGGUCUCAGUCCAGAUCAGUUUCUGUUUCCUGAGAAGUUAACACAUGCUGUUAGAAAGCCAGAGCAGAGACACAUCUGAAACCCACACACACUACUGAACAACAUCAGGAAAAACCUCUGGAAUAACAGCGUUUUGGAUUUUUAUCAUCAUGAUCAUGCUUCCAGCACAUAAUGUGUUUACAGUACACUUUAUGUACUUUUUUUAGCCGUUUGAGAUGAAAUGGUGGGUGGAUCCUGGCAACUAAGCACGGAUUCCUGGUUAGCAAACAAAACCCGACCAUCAGUCCUGGAGGAGUUCAGGACACAGCUCUUGCUCUCCUGAACUCUCAUUUCUGGACCUCAAACUAUUUGAUUGUUACUAUUUAGAAGAGAGAGUCUACAAUUCCAUAGAAAGGUGGAAAUCGCUCUGUUGCUGAGGAUGUCCCCACACGGACGUCCUAAAGAUCAGUGAGGUCACCGAGGAUGGUAACACUUCAAAACCAUGAAGACGGCUUUGGACUAUCAUAAGAAGGAGACACGAUGCCCAAACCACCAACUCUGAAUGAACUGAAGAGGCUGGAGGAGACUGGAUUUGGUAAACCUUAUCCAAGACACGGACUCAAGCUGCUUUACUGGUUUGCUCACGACUGUCUGUAUUUUGAUGACGACAAUGAGAUGUGCUGGCAGUACGAUCCAGAGGAAAGAUACUUCGGUUUCCACCUUUUUGAAAACAGAAUUGACAAAAACGGUGAUCAACUCCUGCCUGAGGUGGAGCUUGACUACUACAUGGUGGGCAAUCUGAGGAGAGCAGGAGCAGACGACCUGCCAGAUUACGUUCGGGAGGAUUAUAUCCAAAACCGUAAUCACAGCGAGAGAAACAUGGACCGCAUCAUAGUCAGCGUUGAUGAUGAGUGGUUUGACAGAGUCUAUGUGACCGAGCACAGUGAUCGGACAGAUUUCAACAAGGAAGCCACGUACUGCAUCAGCAGGGGCCUCAUUAUGAUUAUCAGACGGCUGACCUUAGAGAACUUUCUCACAGAAACUGGGUACUGGACAGAAGAGGAUUCUGAUCAGAGUUAUACAGAGGAUGAUGAUGAUGACGAUGAUGAAUAUGAUUAUGUUGUCAGAGAAAUUAGGGGCUGGACACUGGAAGCGAACACUGAUCUGAUUACUGGGUAUUCAAGACUGCCAUCGGACUCUGAUCAAAGAUCUGAGGAAGAAAGUGUCGACAGUUCUGGGGAUCAUGAUGAAUACGAAAACUGCUGCAAAUGUAUCAUACUUUAAACUCUGGGUAUAAAAGAUCAAUUAUAAAACUUGCACAAAGUGUACAGGUAUUUAAAUACAUGACUGAACUAUACCCUUCAUAUACGUUGGCCAUACAGGUAAGACCAUGUUAUAGCACAGAGUCAGAAGGCAGGGAAGGGCACAAGUCCAGGUAUGCAAAAGCUUUAUUCAGAAUUCAGGCGACUGGCAAACAGCAUAGACAGGGCAAAACAAGAGAAAACUAUUUGUUCAUGUGGACAGAAGUUAACUUGGACACGCCCACGGUCUCAGUCCAGAUCAGUUUCUGUUUCCUGAGAAGUUAACACAUGCUGUUAGAAAGCCAGAGCAGAGACACAUCUGAAACCCACACACACUACUGAACAACAUCAGGAAAAACCUCUGGAAUAACAGCGUUUUGGAUUUUUAUCAUCAUGAUCAUGCUUCCAGCACAUAAUGUGUUUACAGUACACUUUAUGUACUUUUUUUAGCCGUUUGAGAUGAAAUGGUGGGUGGAUCCUGGCAACUAAGCACGGAUUCCUGGUUAGCAAACAAAACCCGACCAUCAGUCCUGGAGGAGUUCAGGACACAGCUCUUGCUCUCCUGAACUCUCAUUUCUGGACCUCAAACUAUUUGAUUGUUACUAUUUAGAAGAGAGAGUCUACAAUUCCAUAGAAAAUCAUAAGAAGGAGACACGAUGCCCAAACCACCAACUCUGAAUGAACUGAAGAGGCUGGAGGAGACUGGAUUUGGUAAACCUUAUCCAAGACACGGACUCAAGCUGCUUUACUGGUUUGCUCACGACUGUCUGUAUUUUGAUGACGACAAUGAGAUGUGCUGGCAGUACGAUCCAGAGGAAGGAUAUUUCGGCUUCCACCUUUUUGAAAACAGAAUUGACGAAUACAAUGAUCAACUACUGCCUCAGGUGGAGCUUGACUACUACGAGGUGGGCAAUCUGAGGAGAGCAGGAGCAGACGACCUGCCAGAUUACGUUCGGGAGGAUUAUAUCCAAAACCGUAAUCACAGCGAGAGAAACAUGGACCGCAUCAUAGUCAGCGUUGAUGAUGAGUGGUUUGACAGAGUCUAUGUGACCGAGCACAGUGAUCGGACAGAUUUCAACAAGGAAGCCACGUACUGCAUCAGCAGGGGCCUCAUUAUGAUUAUCAGACGGCUGACCUUAGAGAACUUUCUCACAGAAACUGGGUACUGGACACUGAGAAAGGCCACUGAUCAGGGAACUAGGUAUUCGACACUGAGAACAAACACUGAUCAGGGAACUGGGUAUUCGACACUGAGAACAAACACUGAUCAGGAAACUGGGUAUUCGACACUGCGUAACGUCUCUGAUCUGAAUACUGAGUGUUCGAUACAAAUAGAGGACCCUAGUUUAUUGGAUAAUAAUAAAAAUAAAAACCGCUGGAGAUGUAUUAUACUAUAAACUCUGGGUAUGAAUGAUAAAUUAUUAAACUUACACAAAGUCUGCAGGUAUUUAAAUACAGUAAAUGACAGUGAUUUCUGUUGGUUCGAACAAAAUCUACAACACCUAAUUUCACCCCUUGGUCUAACCUAAACUGUACCCUUCCUAUAUGUUGGCCACACAAGUAAGACCAUGUUACAACACAAUGUCAGGUGGCAGGGAAGGGCACAAGUCCAGGUAUGCAAAAGCUUUAUUCAGAAUUCAGGCGACUGGCAAACAGCAUAGACAGGGCAAAACAAGAGAAAACUAUUUGUUCAUGUGGACAGAAGUUAACUUGGACACGCCCACGGUCUCAGUCCAGAUCAGUUUCUGUUUCCUGAGAAGUUAACACAUGCUGUUAGAAAGCCAGAGCAGAGACACAUCUGAAACCCACACCCAGACCAUCAGUCCUGGAGGAGUUCAGAACACAGCUCUUGCUCUCCUGAACUCUCAUUUCUGGACCUCGAACUACUUGAUUGUUGCUACUUAGAAGAGAGAGUCUACAAUUCCAUAGAAAGUAAGUUUAAAAUGAUGAUGCCAUUUCUUUUGGGGUUAACAUUACACAUUGAGUAUGUGUUUAGAUCUUACUGUUUUAUUAUAAGACUACAUUUAUAUAUAUCAUACUAUCAUUCUAUAGUAAUAUUGAAUACCACUUUGUUCAAAAGUAGAGCUGAAGAUACAGUAAGAACAUACACUGAUCUGUGGAAGCCAGUAGGAGCAGUUACAGACACAUACGAGGGGGAAUGCCAGGGAAUUUUGGUUGAUUCUUUACACUGUACAGGUCGUAUCUCUUUGAACAAUACGAUCAAUAAAAUGUACUCAGUCCUGUAAUGUCUGUGGGCAUCUGAACAACUGAAUUGCAUUUUUUAAAAUGAAAUUGAUAAAGGUGUUGUUGUUAAGAUUAAAGUAAGGCUUGUAAUAUUGUUAAGAUUAAAGUAAGGCUUGUAAUAUUGAAAGUGUUUCUAGGUAAUAACGAUAUAAUACUGAAAAUCUCUCUGAUCUAAUGCCUUUAGCAGUUUUUUAUUUUUUUUUAUUUUUUAUUAUCUGUCAAAUGUAUGUCAUUAUUCAACAUAUCGAAUACCUCCUGAUAUUUAUGUAGCUCCAAAAUAAAAGUCCUCUACAUAAUCUCAACUAUAUUGUGUAAUCAGUUAAAAAGCCGAUACACGUGACACUCAUUAUUCAAAAAUGCAUUUUUUAAAAUGAAAUUGAUGAAGUUGUUGUUGUUAAGAUUAAAGUAAGGCUUGUAAUAUUGAAAGUGUUUCUAGGUAAUAAAGAUAUAUUACUGAAAAUCUCA
Ictalurus punctatus (channel catfish) is the source of this 5156-nucleotide RNA transcript. RefSeq lists it as uncharacterized. The transcript has 6 exons. NCBI's taxonomy places the organism in Eukaryota, Metazoa, Chordata, Actinopteri, Siluriformes, Ictaluridae. The record is from RefSeq and is a predicted model, not a curated record.